GACGAACGCUGGCGGCGUGCUUAACACAUGCAAGUCGAACGGAAAGGCCCUGCUUUUGUGGGGUUCUCGAGUGGCGCGCGGGUGUGUAACCCGUGAGUAACCUGCCCUUGACUUUGGGAUAACUUCAGGAAACUGGGGCUACUACCGGCUAGGAGCUCCUGCUGCAUGGGGGGGGUUGGAAAGUUUCGGCUGUUGGGGAUGGACGCGCGGCUUAUCAGCUUGUUGGUGGGGUAGUGGCUUACCAAGGCUUUGACGGGUAGCCGGCCUGAGAGGGUGAACGGCGACAUGGGGACUGCGGGACGGCCCAGACUCCUAUGGGAGACAGCAGUGGGGAAUAUGGCACAAUGGGCGGAAGUCUGAUGCAGCAGCGCCGCGUGCGGGAUGACGGCCUUCGGGUUGUAAACCGCUUUCGCCUGAGACGAAGCGGGAGUGACGGUAAUGGGUAAAGAAGCACCGGCUAACUACGUG
This 468-nucleotide ribosomal RNA is filed under the name uncultured bacterium. RNAcentral describes it as "partial 16S ribosomal RNA". It matches the Rfam family "Bacterial small subunit ribosomal RNA", at positions 28 to 507 of the family's 1533-position model. The record is from RNAcentral.